RNAcentral lists this ribosomal RNA (253 nucleotides) under uncultured bacterium. Its description in RNAcentral is "partial 16S ribosomal RNA". It matches the Rfam family "Bacterial small subunit ribosomal RNA", at positions 524 to 776 of the family's 1533-position model. The record is from RNAcentral.
UACGUAGGGGGCAAGCGUUGUCCGGAUUUAUUGGGCGUAAAGAGCGUGUAGGCGGUCAGGUAGGUCCGUUGUGAAAACUCGAGGCUCAACCUCGAGACGCCGAUGGAAACCAUCUGACUAGAGUCCGGAAGAGGAGAGUGGAAUUCCUGGUGUAGCGGUGAAAUGCGCAGAUAUCAGGAAGAACACCCGUGGCUAAGGCGGCUCUCUAGUACGGUACUGACGCUGAGACGCGAAAGCGUGGGGAUCAAACAGG